UUGAAGGGGUGAUUGUAAAGAUGGAGAAGAUGCAGGAUGGCGGUUUUAUUGUUGACGAGGGGCUGCGAAGGACGACUGAAGUCGUGGUAUCAGCGACACCUUGUUUGCCGAGUUAAAAAGCAGAUGACGUUAGAAACAAACAUCGAGAAAAAGAAUAAUACAACAUAUCACCCUUACUUGCUGAAUGAAUCCAAUUUAGAAAACAUAUAUAUUUGACUAAUCUGAUUACUUGUAGCAGGCCUGGCGCUAUCGUCAAAGAACAAACAAGUCCGUCCAAGUUGGGACUCCGGAACCAGCUGAAAAAUCUAGAUUCCAUGGAGCUAAGUCAGCUCUGCGGUUUGUCACUGCUGUCACAAGACCAACGCUUUAAAAUAGAGAAGUGUUUUUACUAAAAUAAAGGCACAAAGCGUCUCUCCAAAUGAGGAGUUACUUGACGCAAGCUUAACGUACGAAGUACGUUAAAAAGCGCGACUCAUCUCAUCAGAUUGGUCCUGUCUGCACGAGAUAAAUCAUUCUUCUUGCACGUGAAGUAGUCACGAAAUCUAGUCACAAUAUAAGAAUUAUUUUUAAUUUUAUUUUCGGUAUAGUCAGUAAUCUUCUCGUCAUUUUAUGAAAUUAUACUCCGAGUUGAGCUCACUCACUCAUUCAUCCACACUUGAUUACAUCGCGAGCGAACACGGUUCUUCUUGUUUUGAUAACAUUUAAGAAUGAGUUAAUCUUCUACUUUCCUGGCUUACGUGAAUGGAGACCAUUGUCAACGUGCCCCGCUUUCAAGCAACUCGACUCACAGCGAUAAAGUGCCAAUCUCGCUUUCUGUGCCUCAAAGAUUUGUCGCAAUUGAAUCCAACUUUAAAUCGGUUUAAUUCUUUCAUAACAUUUAAGUCUGUGGUAGUCGAAACUGCGCGAGGGAGUCAGCGAUACGCGCAAAAGACAGAAUUUUAUUAAGCUGAGAAGCAUUUGAAAAAUAAACACAAAUUCUUUUAGAAAAGAGGAGAAGUCAAACCAGUUUCAGAGAAGAGAAAAAGAUAACAAGAAUAUUUCAGUGAAUUGCGGCCAUCGGUUCAGUAUGACGUCAAAAUGAAUAGAAACAUUAUUUAUGGAGUAAUAAUUUGAAUGUUGAAAGAAACCGAUACAGACGAAUACUUGCCGUUUGCUGACCAAUGUAGAGUGUAAAAUCGUAUAAAGGUGUUUCAAUUCAUUGAUAGAAGAGGAGAUUCUGACUACAAAGAUUUAGAAAAAAUUUUAAGUUUUUGAGAUGUAAUAUUUUUUUCGGAUAUAACGCUGUUGAGAAACCUUCUGAUUCACAUAUCAACGUAAUUUUUUGCUCAAAAUCAAAUUAUUGAAUAAAAUCACUUUAUAACUUGUAGAUUCUGAUAUUUUUCAAAAUGCUGUAUUUCGCAAGUUUGAAGUGGUCCCGAAAUCUCGUCACAACACGAGAAAUUGAUUCGAUUUUAAUUUUCGUAUAUUCGGAAAUAUUAUCGUCAUUUAAUAAAAUUAUUUCACCCCAACUUGA
Styela clava is the source of this 1513-nucleotide non-coding RNA. The record is from RefSeq and is a predicted model, not a curated record. Lineage: Eukaryota; Metazoa; Chordata; Ascidiacea; Stolidobranchia; Styelidae.